AGGACGAACGCUGGCGGCGUGCUUAACACAUGCAAGUCGAGCGGAAAGGCCCUUCGGGGUACUCGAGCGGCGAACGGGUGAGUAACACGUGAGCAACCUGCCCUUAGCUCCGGGAUAGCUCCGGGAAACCGGAAUUAAUACCGGAUAUGACCUAGGCCGACAUCGGCCGUGGUGGAAAGUUUUUCGGCUGGGGAUGGACUCGCGGCCUAUCAGCUUGUUGGUGGGGUAAUGGCCUACCAAGGCGACGACGGGUAGCCGGCCUGAGAGGGCGACCGGCCACACUGGGACUGAGACACGGCCCAGACUCCUACGGGAGGCAGCAGUGGGGAAUCUUGCGCAAUGGGCGAAAGCCUGACGCAGCGACGCCGCGUGGGGGAUGAAGGCCUUCGGGUUGUAAACCCCUUUCAGCAGGGACGAAGCGAAAGUGACGGUACCUGCAGAAGAGCGCCGGCUAACUACGCGCCAGCAGCCGC
RNAcentral lists this ribosomal RNA (473 nucleotides) under uncultured bacterium. Its description in RNAcentral is "SSU rRNA". It matches the Rfam family "Bacterial small subunit ribosomal RNA", at positions 26 to 518 of the family's 1533-position model. The record is from RNAcentral.